GACGAACGCUGGCGGCGUGCUUAACACAUGCAAGUCGAACGGAAAGGCCCUGCUUUUGUGGGGUGCUCGAGUGGCGAACGGGUGAGUAACACGUGAGUAACCUGCCCUUGACUUUGGGAUAACUUCAGGAAACUGGGGCUAAUACCGGAUAGGAGCUCCUGCUGCAUGGUGGGGGUUGGAAAGUUUCGGCGGUUGGGGAUGGACUCGCGGCUUAUCAGCUUGUUGGUGGGGUAGUGGCUUACCAAGGCUUUGACGGGUAGCCGGCCUGAGAGGGUGACCGGCCACAUUGGGACUGAGAUACGGCCCAGACUCCUACGGGAGGCAGCAGUGGGGAAUAUUGCACAAUGGGCGGAAGCCUGAUGCAGCAACGCCGCGUGCAGGAUGACGGCCUUCGGGUUGUAAACCGCUUUCGCCUGUGACGAAGCGUGAGUGACGGUAAUGGGUAAAGAAGCGCCGGCUAACUACGUG
RNAcentral lists this ribosomal RNA (468 nucleotides) under uncultured bacterium. Its description in RNAcentral is "partial 16S ribosomal RNA". It matches the Rfam family "Bacterial small subunit ribosomal RNA", at positions 28 to 507 of the family's 1533-position model. The record is from RNAcentral.